Long non-coding RNA from Seriola dumerili (greater amberjack), 445 nucleotides. RefSeq lists it as uncharacterized. The transcript has 3 exons. NCBI's taxonomy places the organism in Eukaryota, Metazoa, Chordata, Actinopteri, Carangiformes, Carangidae. The record is from RefSeq and is a predicted model, not a curated record.
AAUACGGAGCUCACAUCAGCCAAUCAGAGGAACAGUUGGACACGACGUGAUCCUGCCGUGCUACGUGGAGCCCCCCUUUAAUGUGACACGUCGAACAGUGGAUUGGAAAUUCGGUUCAAAAUUCGUGUACGUUUACCGACACAACGGGCACGAUCCCGAUCAUCAGCACGCGGACUUCAAAAACAGGACGUAUGUCGAUGAAGAUGAAAUGAGCAAAGGAAACCUUUCACUGAGAAUCUUCCCACUGAAAAAAACAGAUGCAGGCAACUACACGUGCAGCGUUCCCGAACAGAGCGGCAAGGUCAUGAAAGUUAACACUGAGCUUAUCGUAGCAGAGGACAAAAUGCCAAACAAGACAGUUUCUUCCAGUCUUGGCAUUGGCACUGGCAUUGGCAUGGUCUCUCUCAUCAUGAUCAUGGUGAUUAUAUGGAAUUCAUAAAUGUAA